RNAcentral lists this ribosomal RNA (253 nucleotides) under uncultured bacterium. RNAcentral describes it as "partial 16S ribosomal RNA". It matches the Rfam family "Bacterial small subunit ribosomal RNA", at positions 524 to 776 of the family's 1533-position model. The record is from RNAcentral.
UACAGAGGGUGCAAGCGUUGUUCGGAAUUAUUGGGCGUAAAGGGCGCGUAGGCGGUGCCACAAGUCACCUGUGAAAUCUCCGGGCUUAACUCGGAGCCUGCAGGCGAAACUGUGGUGCUGGAGUGUGGGAGAGGUGCGUGGAAUUCCCGGUGUAGCGGUGAAAUGCGUAGAUAUCGGGAGGAGCACCUGUGGCGAAAGCGGCGCACUGGACCACAACUGACGCUGAGGCGCGAAAGCUAGGGGAGCAAACAGG